Molecule: unclassified non-coding RNA, 426 nt
Filed under: Hevea brasiliensis (rubber tree)
Lineage: Eukaryota; Viridiplantae; Streptophyta; Magnoliopsida; Malpighiales; Euphorbiaceae
Source: RNAcentral
GUUGAACAUGGGCCUGGAAAUCUUGGAACCUAACACCUGCAUUCGUGGGUGUUGUACCAGCCGAAGAAUCCCCAUUCAUCUCCCUCCUCCUUCUUAUUCUCUCUCUCACCCUAUUGCUCGAGGGGCUGAAAGUGUGGUGUAUGAAGCCAUUCUUGAUGGUAAAAAAGUUGCUGUUAAAAAACCCAUCUUGUCCACAUCUGAAGAUAUUGAUAAAUUCCAUAAAGAACUGCAAUUAUUGUGCACAUUGGAUCAUUGGGGGAUAGCAAAGCUAGUGGGGGCACACGCCAAGCCGCCAAAUUACAUGUUUUUCUUUGAAUACUAUGAGUCUGGAAAUCUUGCCGGGAAAUUACACGUGGAUGAAUGGAGUCCAAGUAUCAGAGAGGCACUUGAAAUUGCAGCUCAUUUAGCAAAGGCCUUACAGUACCU